AACAGUGAGCUAAGCCUCCAGCUCCCCUGGGCCUGGGAGCAGGUGCCCGCUGCGCCUGGGGCCCCCAGGGGCUGACAAGGCAGCGUCACCUGGCAUAGCCCCGGCCCCUCCCCUAUGCACCUGCCUGGCGGGUGUUGCUGCGGGAGUGGGUGGCCGGCAGGGCAGGGUGCUGAGCAAGGCAUGGAGAUGAGCAGAGACCCCAGUGCCCCCAGCCUGCACCACCCCUGCACCCCAAGGCUCAGUUGCAGGAGCUGAUGCCAGGGAGGCUGGGAGUGCCGGUAUCUGGAGCCCCUGACACCUGGUCUACAAGGUGCCUGCAUCUGCCGCGUCCGCCGCCUGGGCUUGGAGCAGCCUCCCUCUAGGACAGACGGAAUCCUUAGUGCUCAGCCUGACCUGGACCCCUGCCUGCCACCCCAGUACCUUCCUGCCAGGACGACCGUGCACACCUCGAGCCAUGGGCCCCAGAGCAGGUGCCCUGGUGAGCCCGGGCCUCGCCCUCCUGGUGUCACUCACCGCCCACUGCUCUCAUCCCCAGGCUGAGGGCACCUCUCAGGGAGGGCUGGAUGCCAGCUGGGCCGACCUAUGGGCCAG
Molecule: non-coding RNA, 591 nt
Organism: Sus scrofa (pig)
Lineage: Eukaryota; Metazoa; Chordata; Mammalia; Artiodactyla; Suidae
Source: RefSeq, a predicted model, not a curated record